Molecule: microRNA precursor, 123 nt
Organism: Danio rerio (zebrafish)
Lineage: Eukaryota; Metazoa; Chordata; Actinopteri; Cypriniformes; Danionidae
Gene: mir128-2
Product: microRNA 128-2
Source: Ensembl
UCUGCUCAUGGGUCUGUCAGUAGUAGGACAGGGGGCCGUUUCUACUGUCAGAGAUGCUGCCACUCGUCUCACAGUGAACCGGUCUCUUUUCCUGCUAUUCACUUCUGCAAUAAUAUGAGCAGA